GACGAACGCUGGCGGCGGGCUUAACACAUGCAAGUCGAACGGAAAGGCCCUUCGGGGUACUCGAGUGGCGAACGGGGUAGUAACACGUGGUUGAUCUGCCCUGCGCUUUGGGAUAAGCCAGGGAAACUGGGACUAGUACCGAAGAGGACCACGCGCUUCAUGGUGGGUGGUGGAAAGCUUUUGCGGUGUGGGAUGGGCCCGCGGCCUAUCAGCUUGGUGGUGGGGUAAUGGCCUACCAAGGCGACGCCGGGUAGCAGGCCUGGGCGGGUGACCGGCCCCACCGCGACUGAGCUACGGCACAGCCCCCUCUGCGAGGCAGCGCUGCAGAAUAGUGUACUAUACGCUGAAGCCUAACGUAGUGCAGCCGCGCGAGGGAUGACAGCCUGCGGGUUGUAUUCCUCAUCCCCCUGAGACGAGACGUAAGUGACGGUACCCGGAGAAGAAGCCCCGGCCAACUACGUG
Molecule: ribosomal RNA, 462 nt
Filed under: uncultured bacterium
Lineage: Bacteria
Description: partial 16S ribosomal RNA
Rfam family: Bacterial small subunit ribosomal RNA
Source: RNAcentral